UACGGAGGGUGCAAGCGUUAUCCGGAUUCACUGGGUUUAAAGGGUGCGUAGGUGGGUUGGUAAGUCAGUGGUGAAAUCUCCGAGCUUAACUUGGAAACUGCCAUUGAUACUAUCAGUCUUGAAUAUUGUGGAGGUUAGCGGAAUAUGUCAUGUAGCGGUGAAAUGCUUAGAUAUGACAUAGAACACCAAUUGCGAAGGCAGCUGGCUACGCAUAUAUUGACGCUGAGGCACGAAAGCGUGGGGAUCAAACAGG
This 253-nucleotide ribosomal RNA is filed under the name uncultured bacterium. RNAcentral's name for it is "partial 16S ribosomal RNA". It matches the Rfam family "Bacterial small subunit ribosomal RNA", at positions 524 to 776 of the family's 1533-position model. The record is from RNAcentral.